GAUGUGAUGGAGCAAGGAGAGUUAUGCGCAUGUGAGGGAGAGAAAAGAGAGGAAGAGAAGUACAGAUGGAGAGAGAAAGGGGGGCAGGGAGAGAGAGAGAGAGAGAGAGAGAUUGAAAGAUUCUACCCUGCUGGCUUUGAAGAUGGAGGAAGGCGCCCUGAGCCAAGGAAUACAGGAAGCCUUUAAAUGCCGGAAAAGGCAAGAAAACAGAUUUACCUCUAGAGCCUCUGUAGGAGACAGCCUGCAAAAGUGACUCCUUGAUUUUAGCUGAGUGAGACUGGUUUUGGACUUCUGACCUCCAGAACGGGUAAAAUGGAAGUACUCUUAGACACCCACGUAAUAGAUCUUGAGAGAAUCCAUGUGACAUUAUCCAAUGAGUGCUUCAAAUAUUUCUGAUAAGUUCUUGCUCUGUCGCCCAGGCUGAAGUGCAGUGGUGGGAUCAUGGCUCACUGUAGUCUCAACCUCUUUGGACUCCAGUGAUCCUCCCACCUCAGCCUCCUGAGUAGCUGGGACAAGAGAUGUCGCAUGUAAGAAAAAAUUCAGCAAGAGACCACCAGAAGCAGAGAGGAGCAAACACAUUUCAACACUAAGGCAACUGUCUCUCUUGGAUUCCAUUAGAGCAGAGUAAGUGCAAGUUUUCUGCCAACCCAGGAUUAGGCCCUACAGCUACAGUGAAAAGAAUCUCAGGUGAAGACUCAGGAAUAAAAACAGAGAAAGAGAUUACAGGCUAAAAUUACUAGAAAUCCUCAGAAAACAAAGAAGGAAAAAGAAACCAGAAAAACCAUCAGCCCAGUUAAUUAAAUCAAGGAGUGACCGGGAGAUCCAGUUUAUUAAAAGAAUGGAAAUUUCUUGAAUUUGAAGAGUCGAGGACGAACAAUCAGGAAUAGUCUAAAGCAACUGCCCAGUGUCCAAAGCACAGGAGCAUAAAGAAGAGCUGGCAAGAGUGUCUCCAGAUGGUGACAAGCUUGCAGACUUUUACUGGACUACUUUGAGGCCAACAAGCCAACCCUGGCCCUCUACUUAUGCAGAAGGCCUACACAGGAUUCUGGGAUACACAUGGAAGGACGACAUCUUUUCAGGUUCUCUCUUUACAGAUGUGAGUGUCCUUCCAAUUCCUGAGUUCUAACUCCAGGCUUGUGUUUUGAGGGGCUCCUCUGAGCCACAUGGAAGAUCCUCGGGUACCCCAAUGGAGCCCUGGAACAUAAGGCCUCCAUAGUCAGCUCCAUGCCUGUUUCCUUUUUCCCAGAGACCCCCAGCCCCCAUCAGCAGUGGUCAACCUCUUCUGAUUCUGCUCCAGAUCUUGAAUUUAGAGACAGUUACAACCUGGAUCCCAAUUCUGUUUGAAAGCAAAAGAAUAACAUAAUCAUCAAUACUCUGGUGCAUGACUCUACCCAGCCCAAUGUAAUGAAAAUAACACUGUGAAAAAAUGAAUAAUCCUGACCCCCUGCCAAAAAAAGACUGAGCAUUACAGAUAUGCCAGAUAAUAUCCAUGUAAAUAAAAAUAAGCUCAAUUUUAAUGU
This is a long non-coding RNA of Symphalangus syndactylus (siamang), 1520 nucleotides long. RefSeq lists it as uncharacterized. The record is from RefSeq and is a predicted model, not a curated record. NCBI's taxonomy places the organism in Eukaryota, Metazoa, Chordata, Mammalia, Primates, Hylobatidae.